ACGCCUUAAACUAAUGAGUAAGGAAAACAAAGCGAGCGGUGGGAGCCGGUCGCAGCGCUGAUUUAUGAUGGCGCAAGAAUUUAUGGAGGGGUUAUAGGCUGGCCGAGCGUUGACGCUGCUUACUUCGCAGAACUCGCUCGUGCGGGCCUCCCGACCC
Prosopis cineraria is the source of this 157-nucleotide small nuclear RNA. RefSeq annotates it as U12 minor spliceosomal RNA. Lineage: Eukaryota; Viridiplantae; Streptophyta; Magnoliopsida; Fabales; Fabaceae. The record is from RefSeq and is a predicted model, not a curated record. The transcript has a single exon.